This 497-nucleotide ribosomal RNA is filed under the name uncultured bacterium. RNAcentral's name for it is "partial 16S ribosomal RNA". It matches the Rfam family "Bacterial small subunit ribosomal RNA", at positions 28 to 507 of the family's 1533-position model. The record is from RNAcentral.
GAUGAACGCUGGCGGCGUGCCUAAUACAUGCAAGUCGAGCGAACAGACGAGGAGCUUGCUCCUCUGACGUUAGCGGCGGACGGGUGAGUAUCACGUGGAUAACCUACCUAUAAGACUGGGAUAACUUCGGGAAACCGGAGCUAAUACCGGAUAAUAUAUUGAACCGCAUGGUUCAAUAGUGAAAGACGGUUUUGCUGUCACUUAUAGAUGGAUCCGCGCCGCAUUAGCUAGUUGGUAAGGUAACGGCUUACCAAGGCAACGAUGCGUAGCCGACCUGAGAGGGUGAUCGGCCACACUGGAACUGAGACACGGUCCAGACUCCUACGGGAGGCAGCAGUAGGGAAUCUUCCGCAAUGGGCGAAAGCUUGACGGAGCAACGCCGCGUGAGUGAUGAAGGUCUUCGGAUCGUAAAACUCUGUUAUUAGGGAAGAACAAAUGUGUAAGUAACUAUGCACGUCUUGACGGCACCUAAUCAGAAAGCCACGGCUAACUACGUG